Molecule: ribosomal RNA, 424 nt
Filed under: uncultured bacterium
Lineage: Bacteria
Description: partial 16S ribosomal RNA
Rfam family: Bacterial small subunit ribosomal RNA
Source: RNAcentral
UGGGAAUUUUGGACAAUGGGCGAAAGCCUGAUCCAGCAAUGCCGCGUGUGUGAAGAAGGCCUUCGGGUUGUAAAGCACUUUUGUCCGGAAAGAAAUCCUUGGCUCUAAUACAGUCGGGGGAUGACGGUACCGGAAGAAUAAGCACCGGCUAACUACGUGCCAGCAGCCGCGGUAAUACGUAGGGUGCAAGCGUUAAUCGGAAUUACUGGGCGUAAAGCGUGCGCAGGCGGUUUGCUAAGACCGAUGUGAAAUCCCCGGGCUCAACCUGGGAACUGCAUUGGUGANUGGCAGGCUAGAGUAUGGCAGAGGGGGGUGAGAAUUCCACGUGUAGCAGUGAAAUGCGUAGAGAUGUGGAGGAAUACCGAUGGCGAAGGCAGCCCCUGGCAAGUACUGACGCUCAUGCACGAAAGCGUGGGGAGCAAAC